This 587-nucleotide long non-coding RNA is filed under the name Heterocephalus glaber (naked mole-rat). RNAcentral's name for it is "lncRNA (ENSHGLG00000030573.2)". Lineage: Eukaryota; Metazoa; Chordata; Mammalia; Rodentia; Bathyergidae. The record is from RNAcentral.
GCUCCCACAGCUGAGGACCCUGGCCAUGCCCCUCCUCAUCCCGUAGCCAGGCUCUGCCUGCUCCCACGACCUUACCAGCUGCACACCCUCCUUUCUGGAUCCUUCCAGCCUCCUAAGGAGGGCACUGCAGUCAGCCAUGCUUUAUGUCCAGCAGAGGGCCUUCUAGAGGGGUCACCACAGAGCACUGCUUCAUCUCUCUCCACAGCAGAAUUCACUCUGUAAUUCAGGCUUGCCUUGAAUUCACUAUGUAGUCUCAGCCGGCCUUGAACUUAUGGUUGUCCUCCUGCCUCAGCCUCCUAAGAGCUGGGAUUACAGGGAUCGAACUUGGGUCCUUGCACUUGUGCAGCAGGCGGCUAAUCCACUGAGCUAAAUCCCAAGCCCUAAUGAAUCUUUUAAAAGACAUCCCUAUGAAAUCAGCGUGCUUUCAUAUAUAUGGUGUAUCACAAUAAAUUCACCCCACCCCUUUCUUUAAAGUUCCUGAAAGUAUUUUAUUUCAGGUUGAAAAAUGAACAGCUUCCACACUGUUCAUUGCAAGAUGCACAGUAUCCAUGAAUGCAAUGCUGGUCAUUUGAGGACAUACUCUAUAC